UUAACGCAAAUUUGUAUGCAGUUGGAUCAGCGCCCCUAGCGGCAAACGUAGGCAAACGUUGCAACUCCAUACAAAUUUGAGUUA
This 84-nucleotide microRNA precursor is filed under the name Bombyx mori (domestic silkworm). RNAcentral describes it as "mir-2807 microRNA precursor family". It matches the Rfam family "mir-2807 microRNA precursor family". Lineage: Eukaryota; Metazoa; Arthropoda; Insecta; Lepidoptera; Bombycidae. The record is from Rfam by way of RNAcentral.